Molecule: ribosomal RNA, 819 nt
Filed under: uncultured bacterium
Lineage: Bacteria
Description: bacterial SSU rRNA
Rfam family: Bacterial small subunit ribosomal RNA
Source: RNAcentral
GUGAAAUGCGUAGAUAUCGGGAGGAACACCAGUGGCGAAGGCGAUCACCUGGGGUUGAACUGACGCUGAGGAGCGAAAGCUAGGGGAGCAAACGGGAUUAGAUACCCCGGUAGUCCUAGCCGUAAACGAUGGAUACUAGGUGUAUGAGGUAUCGACUCCUUAUGUGCCGCAGUUAACACAGUAAGUAUCCCGCCUGGGGAGUACGGCUGCAAGGUUAAAGCUCAAAGGAAUUGACGGGGGCCCGCACAAGCGGUGGAGCAUGUGGUUUAAUUCGACGCAACGCGAAGAACCUUACCGGGGCUUGACAUCGGAUGAUCAUUCUAGAAAUAGAGUUUCCUCGUAAGAGGACAUCCAGACAGGUGCUGCAUGGCUGUCGUCAGCUCGUGCCGUGAGGUGUUGGGUUAAGUCCCGCAACGAGCGCAACCCUCGUCGUAUGUUGGUCCAAAAGAUCUCUCAUGCGAGACCGCCGGUGAGAAGCCGGAGGAAGGUGGGGAUGACGUCAAGUCAGCAUGGCCCUUACGUCCCGGGCUACACACGUGCUACAAUGGGGAGGACAACGAGCAGCAAACUCGCGAGGGUAAGCAAAUCUCUUAAACCUCUCCUCAGUUCGGAUUGAAGGCUGCAACUCGCCUUCAUGAAGUCGGAAUCGCUAGUAAACGCAGAUCAGCUACGCUGCGUUGAAUACGUUCCCGGGCCUUGUACACACCGCCCGUCACGUCACCUGAGUUUAGUGUACCCGAAGCCGCCCGUGCAACCGCAAGGAGCAAGGCGUCUAAGGUGUGCUAGGUAAGGGGGACGAAGUCGUAACAAGGUAACCGU